UACUAACUAAUAGUUUGGCCAAAAAAGAAAAAAAUUGCUUUAUUCGUCAAUAACCAACAGUAAGAAAUAAAAUAUUUAAAUUACCUCUCCAUUUCUUAAAUAUCUUUUUACGAUCGAAAUCAUUUCGGCUUUUGAAAUAUUUACAUUUUUUGCCAGAAAGAGAAAUUGAAAUAUUUACAAGUUGUCGCCUCAUUAGACGAGUCAUCUCCAGUAUCCUCCAUUUCUUCAGAAUCUUCUUCUACGUCUUCCUCGUAAUCGGAUUCAUCUUUCAAUUUUCCUUCAUCAACCUUAUUAUCAGAAGUGUCUUCCUUUUCUAUAGUAUUUUGAUCUCUAGUUUCUUCAAUCCUCUAGUUGAUCUGCAUUUAACAAUCCAGACUCGGUAGAUUUAGCUUUCACAACAUGCUCAUUAAUCUUCAAGCGUUUAGUAGAUGAUUUCCUCUCCCUUUCUUUCUCUUUUUUCCUCCCCGUAGCCCAUUAUGUUGAUUUCUUUUCAUUACCAAUUUAUGUGCAGUUUCCACAAGUAAGAGAUGGCAAAAAAGCGAGUAGGUGAUCGGGCGACGGACGAGCGACGUGUGCUAUGGCAAAGGUAGAGACCUGCUGCCAUUAGUUGAGUGAUGUUUGGUAGCAGCAAGAGGCGACAAACGACAUGGCUGGUGAGGGGUAUGGCUGACGGUAAAGAGAGAGGUAUGAUAGUUCUGAUUAUGAUUUUGUGAGAGGGAAGAAGGAAAUGGGGUAUUUUGUAAUGGGCUUUGAGAAACUAAGUUAAAUUCGAGCCUUUCCUCCGGAAAUAAAGAGGAAUAGGAGGAGAGAGGUGAUGGUUGAAUGGGAGUUGUAGGAAUUUGAAAGCGAUUUGUGCAACGGUGC
This 864-nucleotide long non-coding RNA is filed under the name Ricinus communis (castor bean). RNAcentral's name for it is "long non-coding RNA (RCOM_LNC000296)". The record is from RNAcentral. Lineage: Eukaryota; Viridiplantae; Streptophyta; Magnoliopsida; Malpighiales; Euphorbiaceae.